GGGAAGAUGUCACGGGCGCACGGCGGAUGCCUUGGCGCAGGGAGCCGACGAAGGGCGCGGCAAGCCGCGAUAGUCCCCGGGGAGGCGCACACGGCCUUCGAUCCGGGGGUGCCCGAAUGGGAGAACCCGGCGGCUGGAGAGCCGCCAUCCCCCUCCUGAACGCAUAGGGAGGGGGAGGGGAACCGGGGGAACUGAAACAUCUAAGUACCCCGAGGAGGAGAAAUCAAUCACGAGAUCCCCCGAGUAGCGGCGAGCGAAAGGGGGCGACGGCCAAACCGGCGAGCGCACGCGGCCUGAGGGCUUCGCGCCGCCGGGGUUGUAGGGCCGCCCGCCCGGGAGCCUCAGCUCCCGGCGGGGAAGUCGCGCGGGCGGCGGAACGGCAUGGGAAGGCCGGCCGCAGAGGGUUAGGGCCCCGUACGCCCACCCGCAGCGACUCCCCGGUGGCGGUCCCUGAGUAGGGCCGGGCACGUGAAACCCGGUCCGAACCUGGGUGGACCACCAUCCAAGCCUGAACACUACCCUGCGACCGAUAGUGGACCAGUACCGUGAGGGAAAGGUGAAAAGCACCCCGGGAGGGGAGUGAAACAGCACCUGAAACCGUGCGCCCACGAGCAGUCGGAGCACCGAUAGGUGUGACGGCGUGCCUUUUGUAGAAUGAGCCAGCGAGUCAGACGCGCGCGGCGAGGUUAAGCUUGGAAGCGAGCCGCAGAGAAGUCGAGUCCGAACAGGGCGUCGAGUCGCGCGCGCUGGACGCGAAGCCGGGUGAGCUAUCCCUGGGCAGGCUGAAGCGGGGGUAAGACCCCGUGGAGGGCCGAACGGCAGUACGUUGAAAAGUGCUCCGAUGACCUGGGGAUAGGGGUGAAAGGCCAAUCAAACCCGGAGAUAUCUCGUUCUCCCCGAAAUAGCUUUAGGGCUAGCGUCGGCCGUUCUCCGGCGGAGGUAGAGCACCGGACGGGUGAGGGGGCUUCGCCGCCUACCGAUCCCGACCGAACUCCGAAUGCCGCCGGAUCAGAGGCCGGCAGUCAGAGCAUGUGGGCUAAGCUGUGUGCUCGAGAGGGAAACAGCCCAGACCGCCCGCCAAGGCCCCCAAGUCCGUGCCGAGUGGCAAAGGAUGUGCGUCCGCCCAGACAGCCAGGAGGUUGGCUUAGAAGCAGCCACCCCUUCAAAGAGUGCGUAACAGCUCACUGGCCGAGUGGACAUGCGCCGACAAUACACGGGGCUAAGCACGGCGCCGAAGCGGCGGAUAUGUUUUUACAUAUGGUAGGGGAGCGUCCCGCGGGGGGCGAAGCCGGAGGGCGACCGACGGUGGACCGCGCGGGAGCGAGGAUGCUGGCAUGAGUAGCGAGAGUGGAGAGGGUAACUCCACCGCCGUGAACCCGAGGUUUCCUGGGCGAGGCUAAUCCCCCCAGGGUCAGUCGGGGGCUAAGGCGAGGCCGGAAGGCGUAGCCGAAGCGCAGCAGGCAGACAUUCCUGCACCGCGCACGCGGCGCUAUGACCGAUGCGGCGACGGAUGGGGGUGGCUCGGCCGGGUUCUGGACGUCCCGGUGAUGGAGCGCGGCCCGUCGGGGAGGGAAGUCCCCCCGGCACGAGGGUUAGGCUCCGGACGAAGCGACUGAGCGAAGCGAGUGAGCCCGUGGUCCCUAGAAAAACCGCUAGGCAGGCGCGUGCGCGCCCGUACCGCAAACCGACACAGGUGGGUGGGUAGAACAUACCGAGGCGAUCGGGUCAACCGUGGUCAAGGAACUCGGCACAAUGGCCCCGUAACCUAGGGAGAAGGGGUGCCGGCGCGUAGGUGGAGGGACUCGCUCCCCGAGCCGAGGCCGGCCGCAGUGAAGAGGCCCAAGCGACUGUUUACCAAAAACACAGGACUCUGCAGAAGCCGCAAGGCGACGUAUAGGGUCUGACGCCUGCCCGGUGCCGGAAGGUCACGCGGAGGGGUCAGCCGCAAGGCGAAGCUCCGAAGCCAAGCCCCGGUAAACGGCGGCCGUAACUAUAACGGUCCUAAGGUAGCGAAAUUCCUUGUCGGGUAAGUUCCGACCUGCACGAAAGGCGCAACGACUUGGGCGCUGUCUCGACCACGGACCCGGUGAAAUUGCACUGGUCGUGAAGAUGCGACCUACCCGCGGAAGGACGGAAAGACCCCGUGAACCUUCACUGCAGCUUGGCAUUGGCCGCUGCUCGGGAGCGUAGAGGAUAGGCGGGAGGCUUCGAAGCCGGGGCGCCAGCCCCGGUGGAGCCGACCUUGGAAUACCGCCCCCUCCCGUGCGGCGUCCUAACCCCCGGCCGCGAUCCGGCGGGGGGACCGUGCCAGGUGGGCAGUUUGACUGGGGCGGUCGCCUCCUAAAGGGUAACGGAGGCGCGCGAAGGUUGGCUCGGGGCGGUCGGCAACCGCCCUCACAGAGUGCAAGAGCGCAAGCCAGCUUGACUGCGAGUCCUACAAGACGAGCAGGUGCGAAAGCAGGCUCUAGUGAUCCGGCGGCCCCACGUGGGAGGGCCGUCGCUCAACGGAUAAAAGGUACUCCGGGGAUAACAGGCUGAUCUUGCCCAAGAGUCCACAUCGACGGCAAGGUUUGGCACCUCGAUGUCGGCUCAUCGCAUCCUGGGGCCGGAGCAGGUCCCAAGGGUACGGCUGUUCGCCGUUUAAAGCGGUACGCGAGCUGGGUUCAGAACGUCGUGAGACAGUUCGGUCCCUAUCCUCCGUGGGCGCAGGAGACUUGAUGGAGGCUGCCCCUAGUACGAGAGGACCGGGGUGGACGCACCUCCGGUGAACCGGUUGUCGACCAACGGCACGGCCGGGUAGCCGCGUGCGGCGCGGAUAACCGCUGAAGGCAUCUAAGCGGGAAGCCGUUCCAGAGAUUGGGUCUCCCUUCGGUAAGGGCACCGGUAGACCACCGGUUCGAUAGGCCGCAGGUGCAAGGUCGGCGACGGCCUCAGCCGAGCGGUACUAAUCGCCCGAGCUCUUCACCCGC
RNAcentral lists this ribosomal RNA (2969 nucleotides) under Enorma massiliensis. RNAcentral describes it as "23S ribosomal RNA". It matches the Rfam family "Bacterial large subunit ribosomal RNA". Lineage: Bacteria; Bacillati; Actinomycetota; Coriobacteriia; Coriobacteriales; Coriobacteriaceae. The record is from RNAcentral.